GAGUUUGAUUAUGGCUCAGGAUGAACGCUAGCGGCAGGCUUAAUACAUGCAAGUCGAGGGGCAGCAGCUUUAUAGCAAUAUAGAGGCUGGCGACCGGCAAACGGGUGCGGAACACGUACACAACCUUCCUUGAAUAGGGGGAUAGCCCAUAGAAAUGUGGACUAAUACCCCGUAAUAUAGCGGUGUGGCAUCACACUGUUAUUAUAGUUUCGGCGAUUCGAGAUGGGUGUGCGGCUGAUUAGGUAGUUGGCGGGGUAAAGGCCCACCAAGCCUUCGAUCAGUAGCUGAUGUGAGAGCAUGAUCAGCCACACGGGCACUGAGACACGGGCCCGACUCCUACGGGAGGCAGCAGUAAGGAAUAUUGGUCAAUGGACGCAAGUCUGAACCAGCCAUGCCGCGUGAAGGAUGAAGGUCCUCUGGAUUGUAAACUUCUUUUAUAGGGGGCGAAAAAAGGUCUUUCUAGAUCACUUGACAGUACCCUAUGAAUAAGCACCGGCUAACUCCGUGCCAGCAGCCGCGGUAAUACGGAGGGUGCAAGCGUUAUCCGGAUUCACUGGGUUUAAAGGGUGCGUAGGCGGGUAGGUAAGUCAGAGGUGAAAUCCUGGAGCUUAACUCCAGAACUGCCUUUGAUACUAUCUAUCUUGAAUAUGGUGGAGGUAAGCGGAAUAUGUCAUGUAGCGGUGAAAUGCAUAGAUAUGACAUAGAACACCUAUUGCGAAGGCAGCUUACUACGCCUAUAUUGACGCUGAGGCACGAAAGCGUGGGGGAUCAAACAGGAUUAGAUACCCUGGUAGUCCACGCCCUAAACGAUGGUUACUCGACGUAUGCGAUACACAGUAUGCGUCUG
RNAcentral lists this ribosomal RNA (847 nucleotides) under uncultured Bacteroidota bacterium. Its description in RNAcentral is "bacterial SSU rRNA". It matches the Rfam family "Bacterial small subunit ribosomal RNA", at positions 9 to 849 of the family's 1533-position model. Lineage: Bacteria; Pseudomonadati; Bacteroidota. The record is from RNAcentral.